Oreochromis aureus is the source of this 2630-nucleotide long non-coding RNA. Lineage: Eukaryota; Metazoa; Chordata; Actinopteri; Cichliformes; Cichlidae. The record is from Ensembl.
GCUUCCUGUAAAGCACAGGUGUCAAACUCGAGGGCCGAUGUCCUGAAAGUUUUCCAUGUGUCCCUGCGACACACCUGAUUAAAAUUAGUAGGUUAUUAGCAAGCCUUGACUGCAUGCUGAGUUGGAGACCCCUGAUUUAAAUAAAUGUGAGUUUUUGAAAAAUUGUACUUCUAAAAGUACUUUUAUUGCACCAUGUUCAUUUACUUAUGAGCUGCUUUAACAUGAAUCAAAUGGCUGAGGCUACGUCUACACUAGCCCGGAUAAAUUUGAAAACUGUUUGCGUCUGAAAACACUGCAUCCACACUGUUGUUUUCACAGAGUUGUGCGUCCACAUUGAAACGGCCGAAAACGCUUACGUUCUAGUACUGCGCAUGCGUGAAAUGCAAGACAAUUUGACCUACCUCAUUUCUGUCUGCUGUUUAUUUACUUUCCGGCUCUUUGAAACGUCACGGCAAAAUGUCAAGUUUUUUAAAUGGACUAACAAUGAGGUGGAGUUGUUGCUGCAAGUGACACAAAAGUACAAAGUUGCAAAAGCAAUUGAGAAUUAAAGAAUUGGAAGAAAAGCUAUCUGGAGCAUGUACAAACUGAUAUUAAUCUUUAAUAGGGCUGUCAAAAUUGAGAGCAACCAAAACAACUGCUGUGUAAUGCCCUCCGCUAUCUUAGUUUAAUUGGUCACAGGACUGCAUCACAACUAAAAUGUGUCAUUGUUUUCGAAAAGGCUCUGGGUUUGCUGUCCACACUGCAAAGUGAAAAUGGCAUUUUCAAAUGUAUCCAGUUUGGAGAGCAUUUUCAACCCUCUCAGUGUGGACGAAAGGCCGAAACGGAGAGAAAAAGAUGUUUUCAAACGAAAACGUAUUAGUGUGGACAUGGCCUGAAUUGCCUGCUCAGCAUGCAGUCAUGUUCUAUAGUCUUGCUAAUGACCUACUAAUUUUAUUCUGGUGUGUUGCAGCAGGGACACAUUUAAAAGUUUCAGGACACUGGCCCUCGAGUUUGACACCUGCGCUCUACAGGAAGCUGUGAGGCUGAUGCCGCCGGUCACACUUUAUGAAAAAUUGUGGUUCAGCGUCUGUCCACACGGGGGAGCUGCAGGAGGACUGAUAGACUGAAGAUCUGCUUUGUGGGCUGGACCUCUGCAGACACCAGAAUGAAAGCAGAACCUGCAUUUUGACUCUCACAGUGCCUCCCUGAGGUUUGACUGAGUCACAAUAGUUUAUGAUCCAGCUGCAUGUUGGAGGUCAAAGGUCAGCUGCUGGCUGUUAGAGGUCAGGUCUUUGGGUCAGUCUGAAUGUGACAAACACACUGCGUCACUUGCUGAGGAGUCGAGUCCCAGAUCAGUUCCAGACGCUAGCCCUCGAGCAGAGAGGGUUGGUGGUCUGUGCUGUGGCUCAAGUGCAGGUUGAGAUCACAAGAAGACCUGCGAGCUGCUGACGUUACACGUGUAUGACGAUGUGAAGAGAAGGAAGCUGAAUGCAGAGGUCAGUGUGACAGAGCGACAACAGGAAUGUGACAUCACACAGAUGUGUUUCUAAUGUGGCAGCACAGUUUUCACUUUAUUGUUUCUGACUGCAGGUGGCGCUCUCCGCCUCUGCCGCCGGGCCAUGUUACACCACAGUUCAAGAGGUGGGCGAUGAACGUGUCACAGGUGCAACUCACCUGACCUGACUACACCUGAGUGUGUGGUCAGGUGAGUCUGAGGAGGACCUGUGUCCGUCACAUGUCUGCUGGGACUCUGCAGACACACACGUGUUGAUGCAGAUGUAAAAACCUCGAUGUUUGGAAAUGCUGAGCUGGAUUUGAUACAAACCUUCUGCUGUUUUUAUUUUUGUUUCAUUCUUUAUUUUCUGUAACAGAAUGAAAUAAAUCAGGUUACAUUGUUUUCAUUUGUCAGUGAUGACAGUCAUGCACCUGAGGGCAUCAUCAAACUGUUUUAAUCUGUCCCAAACAUUUGCACAGAUGUAACAUUAUCUACAGCUGCUCUCAGUACCACUGAUGUUAAUUUAGGGUCUUUCUCUCCAGCUGAUCUGAGUUAACUUGAUUAACUACCACCAGCUGCUUCAGCCUGUUCUUUUCUGUAAUUCCACCUUGUAUCACAUGGUGGUGCAGUGAGUCACUGUAACUUUCAUUUAAUUAGAGUUUAUUUCCUGUAAACAAAUAUUAAAUGAUUUCUAAUCAGUUGCUUAAAUCGCUCUGUGAUUAGGCAUCCACAUUGAGCUCUGACAGCUGUACAAAUAGCGCUGUUCCUGAAGUCACACUGUGGUAUUUUGGUAAAUGCAGAUUAUUUCUCUCAGUCCUGCAAACAGGAAGCCGAAAACAGGAUUUUCAGGUCAUUAACUGAAGCAUGAAAACGUGCGGCCUCUCCUACUUCCUGUCAAACAAGAAGUCUGUCUCCACAUAGGAUUCCAGGAGCUCGGGAAUCUGAUGGCGCAUCUCUGCUUUGAAUUCUCGGCUUUGUGACAACAAUCACAAACCUUCAGAUUCUGUUUGCUGUCUUGACCCCAAAAAAGAUGGCUGCCACACAGAGGUUUCUCGGUUUUGAUGGGGCUAAUGAUCAGGUUUUGCAAACAAACAGAAAGUCAUUUAUGGAGCUGAUCUUUAGACCCGUUGAGGAAAAACCUGCUGCAGACACAGAC